RNAcentral lists this long non-coding RNA (503 nucleotides) under Arabidopsis lyrata. RNAcentral's name for it is "long non-coding RNA (ALYR_LNC000891)". Lineage: Eukaryota; Viridiplantae; Streptophyta; Magnoliopsida; Brassicales; Brassicaceae. The record is from RNAcentral.
UAGUUUAUGAUAUAGUAGCUACUUGAUGGAAUUAUUUUAGGCAGAAAAACAGUUAUACAGACUGAUAGAAAUAAAUAAAUAAUCAUGCUGAACUUGAAGCCCUCUCGUGAGCGACGGAGAUGGCUAUAUCUCAAUGGUUCAUUUCUAUCCGCUUUAAAACGGACGAUACUCUGAAAUUUUGAAAAUCAUCGAGGCUGAAGAUGACUGGCUCGCCUUUGCCACGGAAUUAGAAUCUUAUCAUGCUCUUAAGUAGGCUUCGAUUUUUCAUUUUCUUUAGUUCUUAAAUGUUUGUAAUAUGCCUUUCGGCAACACAUCUAAGUAUCUAAUAUAAUCUAGGCCUGGGCAAAAUACCCGGAACCGAAUACCCGAACCGAAAAACCCGAACAAUACCCGAACCGAACCCGAACCCGAUUUGUAAAAAUACCCAAAUGGGUCCUAACUUCCUACCCGAAAAAAACCCGAACCGAACCCGAACCGAAUCCAAUACCCGAAUGUACCCGAAU